This 541-nucleotide ribosomal RNA is filed under the name Coleonyx nemoralis. RNAcentral describes it as "Coleonyx elegans nemoralis partial large subunit ribosomal RNA". It matches the Rfam family "Bacterial large subunit ribosomal RNA", at positions 1817 to 2597 of the family's 2925-position model. Lineage: Eukaryota; Metazoa; Chordata; Lepidosauria; Squamata; Eublepharidae. The record is from RNAcentral.
AGCCUUUAGCUCACCAAGUAUUAAAGGUCCUGCCUGCCCAGUGAAACUUUUAACGGCCGCGGUAUCCUAACCGUGCAAAGGUAGCGUAAUCACUUGUCUUCUAAAUAAAGACUCGUAUGAACGGCUAAAUGAGGACCUAACUGUCUCUUACGACCAAUUAAUGAAACUGAUCUUUCAGUCCAAAAGCUGAAAUAUAAACAUAAGACGAGAAGACCCUGUGGAGCUUUAACCAAGAUACUAUACCCGCCACAUAUAUCUACACCUGUAAUAGUACCUCGUUUAAGUUGGGGCAACUAUGGAAAAAGAAAAACUUCCACAUUACCCUAGGGCAAACCCCCCUACCCCCCAGACCCACCUGUCAAACACUAAGCACAUCGACCCAGUCCCACUGAUCAAUGAACCAAGUUACCCCAGGGAUAACAGCGCAAUCCCCUUUCAGAGUCCCUAUCGCCAAGGGGGCUUACGACCUCGAUGUUGGAUCAGGACACCCAAAUAGUGCAACAGCUAUUAAUGGUUCGUUUGUUCAACGAUUAACAGUCCU